This 22-nucleotide microRNA is filed under the name Homo sapiens (human). Its description in RNAcentral is "hsa-miR-12132". Lineage: Eukaryota; Metazoa; Chordata; Mammalia; Primates; Hominidae. The record is from miRBase by way of RNAcentral.
UAUUACUGUGAGAAUUAUGAUG